UCUUUGUUUCUCUUUUCAUCUUCGGAUUCCUAUCUAAUGAUCCAGGACGUAAUCCUGGACGUGAAGAAUAAGAAAAUAUUUUUUGUUUUGCUUACUUGUGCUGGAUUUUGAAAUUUUUUUUUUUUUUUUAUCUAUUUUACAUCUUUAACUAGUAAAAAAAAUUAAACAAAGAGGAAAAAAAAAAAAGAAACUCCAUAAUUUCAAAAGAAAAAAAUACCAAAUCAUCAAUAAACGGAAAGAGAGGGAUUCGAACCCUCGGUACAAAAAUUCAUACAACGGAUUAGCAAUCCGCCGCU
RNAcentral lists this long non-coding RNA (296 nucleotides) under Medicago truncatula (barrel medic). RNAcentral's name for it is "lncRNA gene36389". Lineage: Eukaryota; Viridiplantae; Streptophyta; Magnoliopsida; Fabales; Fabaceae. The record is from RNAcentral.